RNAcentral lists this transfer RNA (69 nucleotides) under Rattus norvegicus (Norway rat). It matches the Rfam family "tRNA". From Rfam's summary of the family: Transfer RNA (tRNA) molecules are approximately 80 nucleotides in length. The record is from Rfam by way of RNAcentral. Lineage: Eukaryota; Metazoa; Chordata; Mammalia; Rodentia; Muridae.
GGGGAUUUGGCUCAGUGGUAGAGCGCUUGCCUAGGAAGCACAAGGUCCUGGGUUCGAUCCCUAGCCCCG